AGAGUUUGAUCCUGGCUCAGAAUCAACGCUGGCGGCGCGCUUAACACAUGCAAGUCGAGCGAGAAAGUGGAGCAAUCCAUGAGUAAAGCGGCGUACGGGUGAGUAACACGUGGAUCAUCUACCUUUUAGUGGGGAAUAACCCUGGGAAACCGGGGAUAAUACCGCAUAAUCCUGUGAAGGGAAAGCAGCAAUGCGCUGAAAGAGGAGUCCGCGGCCGAUUAGCUAGUUGGUGAGGUAAUGGCUCACCAAGGCGACGAUCGGUAGCCGGCCUGAGAGGGCACACGGCCACACUGGCACUGAAAUACGGGCCAGACUCCUACGGGAGGCAGCAGUGGGGAAUCUUGCACAAUGUAGGAAACUCUGAUGCAGCGACGCCGCGUGAGCGAUGAAGCCCCUCGGGGUGUAAAGCUCUUUCGGCAGGGACGAUAAUGACGGUACCUGAAGAAGAAGCUGCGGCUAACUACGUGCCAGCAGCCGCGGUAAUACGUAGGCAGCGAGCGUUGUUCAGAAUUACUGGGCGUAAAGAGUGUGUAGGCGGUGCUCUAAGUUUGGUGUGAAAUCUCCCGGCUCAACUGGGAGGGUGCGCCGAAGACUGGAGUGCUUGAGCGUGGGAGAGGAAAGCGGAAUUCCUGGUGUAGCGGUGAAAUGCGUAGAUAUCAGGAGGAACACCUGUGGUGUAGACGGCUUUCUGGACCAUUGCUGACGCUGAGACACGAAAGCGUGGGUAGCAAACAGGAUUAGAUACCCUGGUAGUCCACGCCCUAAACGAUGCAUACUUGGUGUCGGCCAUUCAGUUGGUCGGUGCCGGAGCUAACGCGUUAAGUAUGCCGCCUGGGGAGUGCGGUCGCAAGGCUGAAACUCAAACGAAUUGACGG
This 875-nucleotide ribosomal RNA is filed under the name uncultured bacterium. RNAcentral describes it as "bacterial SSU rRNA". It matches the Rfam family "Bacterial small subunit ribosomal RNA", at positions 8 to 916 of the family's 1533-position model. The record is from RNAcentral.